Molecule: ribosomal RNA, 253 nt
Filed under: uncultured bacterium
Lineage: Bacteria
Description: partial 16S ribosomal RNA
Rfam family: Bacterial small subunit ribosomal RNA
Source: RNAcentral
UACGUAGGUGGCAAGCGUUAUCCGGAUUUACUGAGUGUAAAGGGCGUGUAGGCGGGACUGCAAGUCAGAUGUGAAAUUCCAGGGCUCAACCCUGGACCUGCAUUUGAAACUGUAGUUCUUGAGUGAUGGAGAGGCAGGCGGAAUUCCGUGUGUAGCGGUGAAAUGCGUAGAUAUACGGAGGAACACCAGUGGCGAAGGCGGCCUGCUGGACAUUAACUGACGCUGAGGCGCGAAAGCGUGGGGAGCAAACAGG